This 932-nucleotide ribosomal RNA is filed under the name uncultured bacterium. Its description in RNAcentral is "bacterial SSU rRNA". It matches the Rfam family "Bacterial small subunit ribosomal RNA", at positions 56 to 985 of the family's 1533-position model. The record is from RNAcentral.
UGCNGUCGAACGGCAGCGCGGGGCNACCUGGCGGCGAGUGGCGAACGGGUGAGUAAUAUAUCGGANNGUGCCCUGGAGUGGGGGAUAACGCAGCGAAAGUUGCGCUAAUACCGCAUACGAUCUAAGGAUGAAAGCGGGGGAUUCGCAAGAACCUCGUGCUCCUGGAGCGGCCGAUAUCUGAUUAGCUAGUUGGUGGGGUAAAGGCCUACCAAGGCAUCGAUCAGUAGCUGGUCUGAGAGGACGACCAGCCACACUGGAACUGAGACACGGUCCAGACUCCUACGGGAGGCAGCAGUGGGGAAUUUUGGACAAUGGGCGAAAGCCUGAUCCAGCAAUGCCGCGUGAGUGAAGAAGGCCUUCGGGUUGUAAAGCUCUUUUGUCAGGGAAGAAACGGUGAAGGCUAAUAUCCUUUGCUAAUGACGGUACCUGAAGAAUAAGCACCGGCUAACUACGUGCCAGCAGCCGCGGUAAUACGUAGGGUGCAAGCGUUAAUCGGAAUUACUGGGCGUAAAGCGUGCGCAGGCGGUUUUGUAAGUCUGUCGUGAAAUCCCCGGGCUCAACCUGGGAAUUGCGAUGGAGACUGCAAGGCUAGAAUCUGGCAGAGGGGGGUAGAAUUCCACGUGUAGCAGUGAAAUGCGUAGAGAUGUGGAGGAACACCGAUGGCGAAGGCAGCCCCCUGGGUCAAGAUUGACGCUCAUGCACGAAAGCGUGGGGAGCAAACAGGAUUAGAUACCCUGGUAGUCCACGCCCUAAACGAUGUCUACUAGUUGUCGGGUUUUAAUUAACUUGGUAACGCAGCUAACGCGUGAAGUAGACCGCCUGGGGAGUACGGUCGCAAGAUUAAAACUCAAAGGAAUUGACGGGGANCCGCACNANCGGUGGAUGAUGUGGAUUAAUUCGAUGCAACGCNAAAAACCUUACCUACCCUUGAC